GACGAACGCUGGCGGCGUGCUUAACACAUGCAAGUCGAACGGAAAGGCCCUGCUUUUGUGGGGUGCUCGAGUGGCAAACGGGUGAGUAACACGUGAGUAACCUGCCCUUGACUUUGGGAUAACUUCAGGAAACUGGGGCUAAUACCGGAUAGGAGCUCCUGCUGCAUGGUGGGGGUUGGAAAGUUUCGGCGGUUGGGGAUGGACUCGCGGCUUAUCAGCUUGUUGGUGGGGUAGUGGCUUACCAAGGCUUUGACGGGUAGCCGGCCUGAGAGGGUGACCGGCCACAUUGGGACUGAGAUACGGACCAGACUCCUACGGGAGGCAGCAGUGGGGAAUAUUGCACAAUGGGCGGAAGCCUGAUGCAGCAACGCCGCGUGCGGGAUGACGGCCUUCGGGUUGUAAACCGCUUUCGCCUGUGACGAAGCGUGAGUGACGGUAAUGGGUAAAGAAGCACCGGCUAACUACGUG
RNAcentral lists this ribosomal RNA (468 nucleotides) under uncultured bacterium. RNAcentral describes it as "partial 16S ribosomal RNA". It matches the Rfam family "Bacterial small subunit ribosomal RNA", at positions 28 to 507 of the family's 1533-position model. The record is from RNAcentral.